Molecule: ribosomal RNA, 408 nt
Filed under: uncultured bacterium
Lineage: Bacteria
Description: partial 16S ribosomal RNA
Rfam family: Bacterial small subunit ribosomal RNA
Source: RNAcentral
GACGAACGCUGGCGGCGUGCCUAACACAUGCAAGUCGAACGAAGUGGCGAACGGGUGAGUAACGCGUAAUCAACCUGCCCUUAAGAGGGGGACAACAGUUGGAAACGACUGCUAAUACCGCAUACUGUAGGGAGGGAUUGAGUCUGAUUAGCUGGUUGGCGGGGGAACGGCCCACCAAGGAGAUGAUCAGUAGCCGGUCCGAGAGGAUGGACAGGCAAAUUUGGACUGGAAACCGGGCCAGACUCCGACGGGAGGCAGCAGGGGGGAAUCGUCCGCCAUGGAGGAAAGUCUGACGGAGCAACGCCGGGGGAGAGGUGACGGCCUUCGGGUUGUAAAGCUCUGUUAAUCGGGACGCGGUACCGGAAUAGAAAGCCACGGCUAACUACGUGCCAGCAGCCGCGGUAAUAC